CAACCAUAGAAGGCACAUA
This 19-nucleotide small nuclear RNA is filed under the name Arabidopsis thaliana (thale cress). Its description in RNAcentral is "snRNA_17165". Lineage: Eukaryota; Viridiplantae; Streptophyta; Magnoliopsida; Brassicales; Brassicaceae. The record is from RNAcentral.